GGAGUGUGUUGCCAUUCCCUUCUCCACUGGAUCUUCCUGACCCAGGGAUUGAACCCGGGUUUCCUGCAUUGCAGGCAGAUUCUUUACCAUGUGAACCACCAGGGAAGCCUUCACAUAUGUGGUGUGGUUCUCAGUGAGGACAAGUUCAAUUGAUAUGCUUGAAGAAUUCUAAUUAAGAAACAAGGUAAUUUCAAAGAUUUACCUCCUGGUCACAUACUUAUUCUGACUUGGAAAUAUCAACCAACAAUAAGUAAUUCAGGAGAUAACUAUUCGUAGAGAGGAAGGGGCCAACAAGAAUGUCACAUACGUGUUUUGUCAGUGGACUCUAGUCGUGUCAAGGUGAGAUAAACUAAUCGUUUCACCUUGAUGUGCUAAAUUAAGUAGUGUGAAGAAAUCAGAAGACAAUGGUGAAUAAAAUGAGCUGAGUGAAUAACUUGCUAUU
Molecule: long non-coding RNA, 442 nt
Filed under: Capra hircus (goat)
Lineage: Eukaryota; Metazoa; Chordata; Mammalia; Artiodactyla; Bovidae
Description: lncRNA (ENSCHIG00000002687.1)
Source: RNAcentral